GGGGGUUUAGCUCAAAUGGUAGAGCGCUCGCUUCGCAUCGCGUGAUUGCGAGAGGCAGGGGGAUCGAUACCCCCAACCUCCA
This is a non-coding RNA of Paraphysoderma sedebokerense, 82 nucleotides long. The record is from the annotation of a GenBank genome assembly. NCBI's taxonomy places the organism in Eukaryota, Fungi, Blastocladiomycota, Physodermatomycetes, Physodermatales, Physodermataceae.